AGCCACCCAGGUGCCCCAGAAAAUUUGGAUUUCUUCUUGAGGAAAACGGAAAGCCAUUGAAGAGUUUUCAAAGUGGAGACCAGGUUCCAUCAAGAAUGAUGUCGGUCAUCAAGGUGGAAGAGAGGGAGGACUGGGGAAUCAUGCACCAAUCUUUAAAUGCCAGAAAAAUGGCAAUGCCACAAGAAGUAUGGGUGAUAUGAUCUUGAUCACUGGCUGAACGGAUUUUUUUUCCAACCAGAGAUCACACAAGAGGAAUCAAUUUAAAAGAUUAGUUUUCAAUUUGCUAAAAAGUGAGUCAACAACUCUUUAAGAUCUCAAACUCCAGCUUUUCUAGUUUAGGUAAGAGCUUUGCCAGGAUGAGCACUUUCAGAAAGUUUGCAAGAGAAGUUUCAUUAUUUAGCUCAUUGGGAGUUUAUUCAGGUUUCUGUUAUAAAAAAUAUGUAUUGAUUAAUGCAUGCCUAAGUCAUGGGGUGAAGGAUAACAAGGAAGAUUCUAGUCAGAGAACUUCCCCUGUAUUCUAAAGGAAAGUUAUGUUUUCUAGUCCAUCCCAACGGUGAGGGAAGAAGAUAAAUGUUUAUAUUGUCAAGCAGGACACGCGUUAUCUCAUUAGUUUUAAGAAGCAGUUAUUGGGGCACCUGGGUGGCUCAGUUGUUUAAGCGUCUGACUUCAGCUCAGG
Molecule: long non-coding RNA, 676 nt
Organism: Lynx canadensis (Canada lynx)
Lineage: Eukaryota; Metazoa; Chordata; Mammalia; Carnivora; Felidae
Exons: 3
Source: RefSeq, a predicted model, not a curated record